Molecule: long non-coding RNA, 688 nt
Organism: Solanum dulcamara
Lineage: Eukaryota; Viridiplantae; Streptophyta; Magnoliopsida; Solanales; Solanaceae
Exons: 3
Source: RefSeq, a predicted model, not a curated record
GUGGCCCAAAUCCGAAAAAAAUCUAAUCAAAACAAGAGAAAAACAAAAAUCUAAAAGCAAUAUCUAGAAAAAUCCGGAGCAACACUCCAGCUCCUCCGACAGCUUUCAAAUCGUCGGUGUUGUGACCGUCUCCGCCGAGCUCGUCCACCUCCGGCCACCAACAACAAUCUAUAGACACUCAUGUUUGGCUGUAAUCAUUUGGACAUCAAAGAUUUUCACAGAUGUUAUGAUUCAAUACCAAUGAAGAUUUUUUAAUAGAAUGUGAUAGAUCUAUGUUAGCUCAAGAGAAAAGUGACAAUGGAAACCACAACAAAUCUAAACAGCUCAGAAUGAGCUUGAAUUUCAUCUUUGAAAGAUGACCCGAAUCUCAAACCAUAUCAAGAUAAAUUGGAGUUCAAUCAAACUCUUGGGUGGUGGUGUAGUUGUCUUUCACUCAUCGUCUUCAGUUUUGCUAUCCGGAAAUAGAUCCUAAUCAGAGUAUCCCGUGUGAAAGCUGAUCUUUCUAGCAGAUACCACAUUAUUAGAUUAGUGGUGAGAUCAUGUGAUCCGUAUCGCCACUAGUUCUAUCUUUUAUUUUGAGUAUUUACUAUUAUUCAAAGACUUAUGAUGUAUAUUGGAUUCGACUAUUGUAUUAGAUGUUUUUUAUACUUAUAACGUCAGGUUUUGAGAUAUUUUUCUUCGUUGUCCC